CUUUAUGAAGAUAUAUACAGUCUGGCCUGCCCACUGAAUUUUAAAGGGCCGCGGUAUUUCUGACCGUGCGAAGGUAGCAUAAUCAUUAGUCUUUUAAUUUGAGGCUCGUAUGAAUGGUCGGACGAGGGCAAAACUGUUUCCAGAUAAAAAACUCGAAUUUAACUUUUAAGUGAAAAGGCUUAAAUAUUUCAAAAAGACGAUAAGACCCUAUAAAUCUUAACAUUAAGCUUCAUGUAAUUCUAGUUCGUUAGUGUAAAGAAACCCAUGAUAAAAAUGUUACGUUGGGGCAACGAAGAUAUAAAAAAGUUAACUGUUUUAUUACUUAAACAAAAAUUAUUGAACUACUGAUCCUUUCUAAAGAUUUAAAGAUUAAGUUACUUUAGGGAUAACAGCGUCAUUCUUUUUGAGAGUUCCCAUCGAAAAAAGAGUUUGCGACCUCGAUGUUGAAUUAGAAAAUCUUUAUGGUGCAGCAGCUAUAAAAGAAAGUCUGUUCGACUUUUAAAUUUCUACAUGAUUU
RNAcentral lists this ribosomal RNA (517 nucleotides) under Calcinus tibicen. RNAcentral describes it as "partial 16S ribosomal RNA". It matches the Rfam family "Bacterial large subunit ribosomal RNA", at positions 1829 to 2606 of the family's 2925-position model. Lineage: Eukaryota; Metazoa; Arthropoda; Malacostraca; Decapoda; Diogenidae. The record is from RNAcentral.